Molecule: unclassified non-coding RNA, 2847 nt
Filed under: Bos taurus (domestic cattle)
Lineage: Eukaryota; Metazoa; Chordata; Mammalia; Artiodactyla; Bovidae
Description: chromosome 6 open reading frame 185 ortholog
Source: RNAcentral
ACCGGAUCUCUCUUCUCAUACCGCAGGAGUUUUCAGCCCCGGCCACGGCGUUUGCUGUCUGCUGAUGGGAAAGUCUUCCUCAACUUAUGGUUCAUACCCCAUCCUUCUGAAGUGCUAGUUAUGUUCAAAACUCUGCCAGAAAAGGUAGCUUUUAGAGCCUUAAAGCUAACUCUGCAGCUGAUAGCCCCUCUUCAUGACAUUGUGGCCUACCUUUUCAGUUUUGCUAAACUUGGAAAUUGUCCAGCAUGUUUUGAAUUUCCUCUGAGUCCUAACCCUCUGAGAGGUGACUGGGGAGGAACUGAGGGUAUUGGAUCUGAACUUCAAGAGCUGCAGAAAAUGAUUGACAGCCUCCAGAGCCCCCAAGACCCCACUCUGGUGUCCCAGGUCCUUCUCCUCCAAAGGGAGGUUAUGUUUCUGCAGUUUGACGCUGCAGUGAGGUACCUCAUCCGACGAACAUUUUUAGCAGCUGGAAAUACUUCUGCCUACCAGUCUGUCAUAGACGGCAUGUAUCAUGGGUUGCCAUCACUGAGCAACUCUCCAAUGAAGAGCAUUUUUGCUUCCCAGCUCAGCCUACCACAACCACUGGAUCCACAGAGCCUCCAGGCAUUUGUGCUGUUCCCUUGGAGAGCGUUUCUGGAAGAUGGAGGACCAUUUCCAGUUACAAGUAGCAGCCCAGAUACCCUAGAAUAUCACAUGCAGCUAUGCUUUUGUGGACUGAGUGGCCAUGACCUCAAGGUGGCUCAUGGAGAGCUGGCAGGCAUGCAACUGCUAAUGGAAGAUGUUCUUCUGAGUAACUAUCAUACGAUCAUGGAGGGUCUCCCAGAACAGCAAGCCACACCAGACAAAAAUACACAGCCAGAUUUGUCCAGAGUGCCAGGACUCAGAAGUCAGUUCCAAAGCAGCCCAAAGGCCUCCAAGCUGCUGGGCGGCCCAUGUGAUGCAGUGAUGUCCCUUGCUUUGCUGAGAUCAUUUCUGGUGCUGUGGAAGCAACUGGAAGUUCUAAAGGAGCACUGGGGCCAACUCAAGCUCCAAGUCCAGGACAUCAACUCCCCCUCUCUCCACAAACAGUUCUCGGAGCUCUAUGGAACUGAUAUUCUCUACCCCAGCAUGAAAGCUAUAGCUAGGCGGAUGGGGAAAGAAGAUGAAUUUGAAGAAAUUUUAAUAACUAGUCAGUCUAUUCUUCCCCCCAAAGGAGCUUCAGAAAUCGAAAUAAAAACUCAACAGCUUCAGAAACUUCUGGAAAAUCUUGAAAUUCAUAUGAUCCAGGAGGUAUUAAAGAAAGUUAACAGAGAGAUAACACUGGUUGUAUCAGAAAAGUCCAAGGAGCAGCAUACUCUCCCUACAGACCUUUGGAAACACCAAGUCAUGGAAGAAAACUUUUCAAUUAUCAGACCACAAAUAGUUGAAAAUUUUGUACAGAGAUUAUUGGAGAAUUACCAGGAUGGUGGAUUAGAGGUCACUUUCAGGAAAGACCACCUUGAGGCCUGCCUCCUUUCCCUGGGUUGUGAUGUGAUGGCCAGAGAACGCAGCAACUUCGAGAGCUACUCCAUGUGUUACGAGCAUAUUUUGGAGCACGUUAGACAGAAGCUCUGCCAGAAGGAGCAAGAAUUAGACAUUAUACGAAGAGGUCAAAAUCCACCUGAAGACAAGGCUGGUCAGGUUGCAGAACUCAGUCACAAUAUGAUCAUGGAGAUCACUGCCCUGAGAGCCCGACUCACGGAUUUGGAGGAGGAGAAUCUAAAUCUCAAAAAGCAAAUUAGAAAAGAAGUCCAAGAAGAAUAUGAAGCAUUAGUCCAAGCUUUGUUUGUGACAUGUUUGCACAUCAAAGAGAAGUUGGAUGAGAAUCAGCUUAAUUUGAUCCAGAAAGUGUGUGAGCUCAUCGGCGAAGUAAGAACAGAAGGGAUUGACAACAUGAAAAGCCUAAAGAAGAAGUGGGGCUCCGCCAGGCCUGACGAAGAAAUGAAAGAAAAUCCAGCCAAAGAGCAGCUGCAGCCUUUGGAGCAGGACAACUGCGGCCUGCCCGCCCUGGUGCGCAAACUGAGGAGCCUGGGCCAUUGGAGGCUGGUGGUGCAGCAGGCGCACUUCCGGGGCCAGCUGAGCAGGGCUGAGAAGGAAGCUGUGCAAACGAAAAAAGAGUGUUUGAACAUCAAGCUAAUGGCAGAACGAGAAGUGGUUUUAUUUCGUCAACAGCUAUUGGCUCUAAGGCAGGCCCUGGCUAGGGCUCAGGCAGACAAUGUGAAGAUGUGCAGGCAGCAGGAGAAUCAGGCACAAUUGCUGAAAGAGUUAGAACACCGAGUGACCCAGGAAGCUCUCCACAGGCAGCAGCUGGAUUUAAUGAAAGCCUCCAGCAUGGAGAAGCUCUUAAAGGAUGUGGAGCAAAAGGAACAGCACCUGCAGCUCCUCACUGAAGAUGCCAAGAGGGCUUCUAAACUGGGCCAGCUGCAGCAGAAGAAAAUUCAGAGAGAACUCCGACAGGUGAGAAGCCGGCUUGCCCAUGAGCGUAGUGUGAAGCUGGAUGCUUUCCAGUGGGUAGAAGAGCUACAAAGUCAGCUUAAUGAUGCUGAGCAAUCCUCCACCCAAAGAAACUCACCUGGCGGCCUUAUAUCCCAAGCUCACUACUCCCUAAGUUCUGCUUCCACGUCAUCCAGAUACACCCAGCAACACCUUUUAAAGACUCAACUCACGGGCAGCAAAAUAACAAGGAUUCAAAGGCCAAAGACUGUACCUAUUAAACACACAAAAAGAACUGACCAUGUCUUCCUACCCAACGUGGCAGAUGCUGUUCAACUUCCAGCUUUUCAAGUUUAAACGGCUCCAUCCAGAACCCCAUUUAGACCUGAUUGGUAA